Molecule: long non-coding RNA, 649 nt
Organism: Myodes glareolus (Bank vole)
Lineage: Eukaryota; Metazoa; Chordata; Mammalia; Rodentia; Cricetidae
Source: RefSeq, a predicted model, not a curated record
CUAAGAUCACAGUUUUAUAUCACAGGAUAAAACCGGAGUUCUCAGGGCCAGCUGGCAAGGAUUCACAGUGACAACAUUUUAAAAAUAAGCCGCGUGCGGUCACGGUGCAUCGCAGCUAUCGCUGUGCUGUACGAUCCAAAGCUUCGGAGACCGCCACUCGGGGUCCUUCAGCCUUUCCCCAGCCGUGGUGAGUGAGGUACACAACCACUUCUCAAGACACUGUGAACCUCUCUCCUCUCCCAAGCCUGCUCACGAUGGAAGAUCAAGGAGGAGAUAAUUAGCAUGCGGGUUCUGAUUACAGACCGUGAAUCCUCACUACUGGGGUGCCACUCACGGACAGAUGCAAACCAAACUCCUUCGUCACUGUCAGUGAGCAGCGCAUACAGUCGCAGCUCUGGGAGGGGCAGGGGAAAAAAAACCCUCGUUUGCCAGACCCUAUGAACUCUGGCCCACAGCCCACGCGGCACUGGGAAUUCUGGUUGCCAGAAGGGAAACCACGUGACAGUUCUCCUUGAAACGUGUCACCACGGGGACAGAGAAAAAUCUAAUGGUAAACAUCUUUAUUUUCUGAGACAGGCCCAAGAACCUGGCUCCACAGGCCAGAAGAGAGCAGCAGACCUCAUUACAGAUGGUUGUGAGCUACCAUGUG